AACAUCAAGAGUCAGAGGCCUAACCGAUUGAGCCACCCAAGGUCCAGAUCCCUAGGGAUGUGUCACCAACUGGCCUAUUUUGAAGUCACUUGAAGAACUUCCUCACUCUGUGCUUACACCACCAAAUGAAUGAAAAGGAUCUGAUUCUUCUUUGGGGAGUAAAUAAGUGCAGUCUGUAGCCUGCAAAAUCAUUUCAGUUCUCAACGGCUAUUGUACCUACAGCAAAGCCUACGGAUCUGCUGAGCAGUGGGUUCCCCACCACUGCCUUCCCAGGGGACCCCUGGAAGUGGGGUUUGCUUGUGCCUGCUCCAGAGUCAGUACUCACUGAGGAGCUGCACUCCCUUGAAGAGAUGACCACGGCCUCGCUAGCAUCUAAAACUGGAUGAUCCAAGAAAGCAGCACUUCCUUUCGUGGCUCCCACCUUGAUUCCCUGAUUCCCUAGGGUGCAGGGAGCACAGACAAAUGUACAGCAGCUGACCUGAACGCGACUUGAGCAGACGGUGGAAGAGCACUGGAGCACACACAGAAAUCUGAAGAGCAUUGCUCUGCAGCUUCCUGGCCUUUCUUGCCCCCCGGGAACUGGGCCCGGGCUGCUCCUCUCUGCAAGGCCUGCCUCCACCUCCUUGCUCUGAGGACACGCCUCUUUUCUCUCCCUCGGCUCCCCUCCCAGGACCCCGACCUCCUCUCUCCUGAGCUCCCAUCAGAAAGCUCGGUUUCCAUUCCCAGCCCUGGCACUGAUUUCCCCUCUCUUUGACUGGACAAAGAAAGCCCUAAUUUUGAAACCAAAGGGGCUCGGUUUUUCUGACCCAAAUUCCAUUUAAAACAAAUGGGCAAAUUCCACCCCCGCCCCCUCCCUUAGAAUGCAAAGCUUUGCCAUCAUUCUUUCCUUAAAAAACUUGUGCACUUCUUCUCACCUUACGCGUCCAUCUUCUAUUUUUUAAUGGCCUGCAGCUUGCAAGACACUCUACUAGAGGCAUUUCAGCUAUUUUUAGAAAUUUGCUAUUCUUACAACCAUGUGAAAUAGGUCUUCUCAUGUCCAUGUUAUAGACGAGCAACUAGGGGCUCAAAACAUUGUAGUAUUUUGUUCAAGGUCAUAAAAAUAGUAAGUUGAUGAAAGAAUUCAAAUUCAGUUCUAAUUCCCAAAUCUGGGCACUUGCCACUGGAGUAAGUAGCCUCAUUUAAUUUAGCCUCAUUUUGUUUUCUUUCCUUCCUUCUCCUUCCCCUGCCCUUUUUUUUUUUUUUCCUUCCUUUCUUCUACCAAUACUUACUGUAAGUCUGUAAGUCUGGCACCAUUCUAAGCGCUGAGAAUACAUCAUGUCCAUGUCCUCAUGAAACUUACAUUUGAGUUAGAAUUGUGUGAAGAGAUAGACAACAAACAAAUAAGCAAAUGUGUAUAUGUGUGUUUAGUAUGUGAGAUGAAUGCUGAUCCCCACCCCUCAUCCUUCCCCCCAUAGAAGAAAUGCAGCAGGAUACGGGGCAUCGGGGGUAAGGGGCAGGAGAAACUUGCUACGUUAUAUAGGGUAUGCAUAACUAUAUAUAGAACAAGACCCACCGAUUUACUCUUUAUAACAAUUUGAAGUUCUCCCCAUCAGCUUCCCCAGAUAAAUCUUUCCUAAAGUGAAAAAUAAUUUGUCAUUUAUAUUAUUCUUCUCUCUGUAAGUUCCAAGUGCAUUUAAUGAGUAUACAGCUAUAUUACGUUACUUAUAGUCAAAUGCUUCUCAAAUGUUACCAACAACAAUCUGUCCAUAAGUCAAAAUUUUCUGCUUCUUAGGGGGCACAUCACCUCAGCAGUUUUUACAAGGUCUCAAGGGAGAAAGGCAAGUUGGAUUUUAUGAAGAAUAUGAGGCUUCGUUGAAAGUGGAGCUUUCAAAGCACUGGCUUGAUCAGGAUGGGGAAAGGAUCAUGAUAUUACAGUUCAGGAUUGGUGGAAACAGCGGAGCAAGAUCUUUCAGGCAAGAGAUUUAAAGAGGGAAGGGAAGUAUGAACCAAGUGUUGAUGUUUUCUGGGGAAGCCUGGAUGGAUCUCUUGGGAAUUCCCUGGAUUGAUCAAUCAAGUCAUUCCCUAGGAAGAAUGUCCUAGAAUUGUAAUGUUAUGCUAUAUAGCUAUACAGAAAAAAGGAUAGAAAAGUCAUGUUCACAUAGACAGUCUGAUCACCUAUGUAAAUUGAAUACCUAAAAUCAGGGUUUAAAGUCCUCAUGUGAUUCCCGAAAUCACGAUAUGGGUAAACCUGUUAAGUUUUGAAAAGUUGGAUUUGAAAACAGCACCACGUGUCAGGAUGAGCCAUGAUUGUCGGUUUCACAUCGUUUUCUCUAUUUUUUGUCAGGCCAUUUCAGAGCUCUUUUGACACCCCCCCCUUUUUUUUUCUGGAAUCUAGUCCCAUAGUCUAAAAUAAGAUGAGUAUUUUGUUUCUGACCUGGUUUAAAUCCAUACAGGCAGGUUACAUGAAAUAUAUUGCUCUGUUUGUCCACACUGGCUGUGGUUCAAGUAGGGAGGAUUCUAGGCCAUAUGGUUUACAAUUCUGUACGUUGGCACUCGAUUACUAGGUCUUUCUACUCACUUGUUUUUCCCUUUUUCAACCUGGCCCCCCGUUUUAUACACUGCUUCAUGCAGAUGCAGUCCUUUUGUGAUGGUGGCAGUGGGUAGAAUGGGGGUGAGGAGAAGGAAUGGCUUACUUGGCAAGCUCCCCAAAAUACUUUUAAAAUGUUCUGGCCAAUUUGGAGAAGUGGAUCGUAAUUCAUAUUUGGUAGACUUGGGUCAUUCAUUCUCCUUGAUGCAUUUCAGCGACAGCAUACCUGUCAGGCCAAGGAAGUUAUAAAUCUUUCUCCAUGUUAACAUUCACAUUUAAUUAAUACUAAUGGGCACAGAUGUCUCUAGGGCUAGAUGAUGUGGUCAAAUGAAGUCUGAGAAGCAGAUAAUAAAGGGAGUGGGUGAGAGCAUAUUUCAGGAUCAAUCCAGUUUGAUUGCCAACAGUAGUAUCUUCUGUUGAUAUUUUCCCUAUUUUGCUCUUUAGAUGGCCCUUCCACGGUUUGCAUUUGGGAUUUUCUAAGGCUUACUUUAAAAUACUAGACAUCUCUCCUUUUUCUCUAGAAAUGGUAGGAGAACAAACUCUGACCCAUCAAAAUCCUCAUGCAAGACUUUAGAACUUUUACUCUCUUUUCUGACACCCAUCAGUUUAAUCACAGCCCCAGAGUGUCUUUCGGGGAUUGGGCUAAGACAAUGCCCAGAGGCUGUAAUUUCUAAACCGUCCUUGGACUUAAGCAAAGUCAUGUUGAUGCAGCAGCACUGAAUAUGCAGUCAUUAAGAGUCCUUUGACUAUUACAUGUUAAAAUAAUGACCUCCUUAAAGUCUCUAGGGCAAGUCUCUAGUGAUAUAAUGAACAACCCAUGCACAUUUCAGAAAAGAAAAAACUAAAGACACCCAGCACAGUGUUAUUUCAGUUGUGUUGAAUUUCCAAUGUUCUUCUAAAGUAUACUGAUCAGUAACGAGAAAGGAAGCUUUAUUUGGCCACUCUCCCUACCUGAAUCCUGCUCACCAUCAGAACCAGUUAAGAGAAUGCCUCAUUAGGGGACUUUAUAGAAAAAUCCAAAUGUCUUUCUACUCUAGGUCAUGCCUUUCCCCAGGGAUGGCCUGACUGGUGGUUGAAGUAUUUGUAGACACAGGCAAAGUGUGACUAAGGGUCCAGCAAGGUCCCAUUUGGCUUAUUUUAUACUCCUCUCCAGCUCUAGUGAAGGCACCUUUUCUUCCUUGUAGGUCUAAACGUUUUACUAUUAACAUGCCAGUAUCUCCAUAAUGCCAUUAAGAAAUCCCCAUAUCUGGUUUGGCUUCUCACAGGAUGGUUAACUAGGACAGGUUGCCAGCUUCCUUUCUUCAAAUCAAUCUUAGAGAAACUAGAAGUGAGAGAAAAGCAUGGAUCUGAGAAGCUAACAAAAAUGGCCUGAACCUCCUCGUGGGAAUGACAGGAUGGUGACCUCCUGUGUAUGGGUGGUUGUCAAGUGGACGGCAGACUGGAGGGAAGAGGGGUAGCUUGAGGAGGACAGUGCGAGUGAGACAAAAGGUUGUAGACAAAUGUCUGGGUUCCAUUCUUGUUUCUUCCUUACAUGGCCUUGGGUCAGUGGUCAAUGGAUCCUUCACUACAGAAAUCAGCUGUUACAGCCCAAGUCUCUGGUGUCAGGGCUUCUGGGGUAAUAUCAAGGGGGAGCAAAGGAUUUACAGGAGUGGGGAGUUUAUAAAAAUAAGUGAGGAAUGGGGUAACUG
Molecule: long non-coding RNA, 4254 nt
Organism: Mustela erminea (ermine)
Lineage: Eukaryota; Metazoa; Chordata; Mammalia; Carnivora; Mustelidae
Exons: 4
Source: RefSeq, a predicted model, not a curated record